RNAcentral lists this ribosomal RNA (609 nucleotides) under uncultured bacterium. RNAcentral describes it as "bacterial SSU rRNA". It matches the Rfam family "Bacterial small subunit ribosomal RNA", at positions 1 to 576 of the family's 1533-position model. The record is from RNAcentral.
CGGUACUCCGAAUGCACUAGAGUUUAAUUUGAUCAUGGCUCAGAGUCACGCUGGUNGUAGGCCUAACACAUGCAAGUCGAACGGCAGCACAGGAGAGCUUGCUCUCUGGGUGGCGAGUGGCGGACGGGUGAGGAAUACAUCGGAAUCUACUCCGUCGUGGGGGAUAACGUAGGAAACUUACGCUAAUACCCGCAUACGACCUACGGGUGAAGGCAGGGGAUCUUCGGACCUUGCGCGAUUGAAUGAGCCGAUGUCGGAUUAGCUAGUUGGCGGGGUAAAGGCCCACCAAGGCGACGAUCCGUAGCUGGUCUGAGAGGAUGGUCAGCCACACUGGAACUGAGACACGGUCCAGACUCCUACGGGAGGCAGCAGUGGGGAAUAUUGGACGAUGGGCGCAAGCCUGAUCCAGCCAUACCGCGUGGGUAGAAGAAGGCCUUCGGGUUGUAAAGCCCUUUUGUUGGGAAAGAAAUCCAGCCGGCUAAUACCUGGUUGGGAUGACGGUACCCAAAGAAUAAGCACCGGCUAACUUCGUGCCAGGCAGCCGCGGUACUCACGACNGGGUGCAAGGCGUUUACUCGGGCAAUUACUGGGCGUAAAUGACGUUGCGUA